Molecule: long non-coding RNA, 1459 nt
Filed under: Parus major (Great Tit)
Lineage: Eukaryota; Metazoa; Chordata; Aves; Passeriformes; Paridae
Description: lncRNA (ENSPMJG00000013468.1)
Source: RNAcentral
AGGCCACCACGACCACUGUGACCCCUCUGACCGCUGUGGCCACCCUGGGCACUGGGACCACUGGGGUCACCAUCACUGUCCCCAUGGUCACCAUGGCCAUUGUGGCCACCGUGACCCGUUAGGCCACCGUGGUCACUGAACCUGCUGAGGCCACUAUGGUCACUGUGGUCAUUGAGGUCACCAUGGCCACCGUGGUCACCAAAGUCACCAAGGCCAAUGUGGCCACUAUGGUCAUUGAGGUCACCAUGGCCAUGUGGUCAUCGAGGUCACCAAGGCCAAUGUGGUCACUGUGGUCAUCAAGGUCACCCUGGUCACUGUACCUGCUGAGGUCACCAUGGCCAUGUGGUCAUUGAGGCCACCAUGGCCACUGUGGUCACUGUGGUCAUCAAGGCCCCCAUGGCCAAUGGGGUCAUUGAGGGCGCUGUGGUCACUGUACCUGCUGAGGCCACCAUAGCCAUGUGGUCACUGUGGUCACCAUGACCAAUGUGGUCACCAUGGUCACUUUGGCCACCAUGGCCACUGUGGUUACUGAGGUCAUCAAGACCACCAUGGCCAUGUGGUCACUGUGGUCACUUUGGCCACCAUGGCCAUGUGGUCACUGUGGUCACCAAGGUCACCAUGGCCAUGUGGUCAUCGAGGCCACCAUGGCCAUGUGGUCACUGUGGUCACCAAGGUCACCAUGGCCAUGUGGUCAUCGAGGCCACCAUGGCCACCGUGGUCACUUUGGCCACUGAGGCCCCCGAGAUAAGACCUGGAAUUGUUCCUCUCCUCCAGCGGGGUCAGGAAUUGUUAAUUAUUAAAUCAGAUUUAACCAAAUCCAGGAGUUUUCUUCUCGUUUUCCCCACCCGGCCCCGCCCUGGUGACUCUGAACAAGGGCCUGGAGCACGAGGGGAUGGGAAAUCGGGAAAAAAACGGGAAUUCCUGGAUGGAGAAAAAAAAAUGGGAAUUCCUGGGUCGGGAAAAAAAAUGGGAAUUCCUGGAUGGGGAAAAAAAUGGGAAUUCCUGAAUCGGGAAGGAAUUCCUGCCGGCAGGGGGGACAGGCUGGAAUUCCCAGAGAUUUCCCAGGGAUUUCCCAGAGAUUUCCCAGGAACUUCCUGGGGAUUUCCCAAAGAUUUCCCAGGGAUUUCCCAAAGAUUUUCCAGAGAUUUCCUGGGGAUUUCCCAGGAACUUCACGGGGAUUUCCCAAAGAUUUCCCAGAUAUUUCCCAAAGGUUUCCCAAGCAUUUCCCAAAGAUUUCCCAGAGAUUUCCCCGAGAUUUCCUGGGGAUAUCCCAGAUAUUUCCCGGGGAUUUCCCGGAGAUUUCCCAAGGAUUUCCCAGGGAUUUCCCAGGGAAUCCGUGGCUGCCCCAUCCCGGAGCUCCCUGGCACGGUGAUCAAUGUGAUCCUAAAAAUCCCCAAACCAGCCCAGAAUUCCAUGGGAACAGGAAAUGGAGCAGGAAGAGGAGAAAAAUUAUGUUAAA